This 507-nucleotide ribosomal RNA is filed under the name uncultured bacterium. RNAcentral's name for it is "partial 16S ribosomal RNA". The record is from RNAcentral.
GGAGUUAGCCGGUGCUUCUUCUGUGAGUGAUGUCCUUCCUGCCGGCUAUUAACCCGCAGGCCUUCUUCCUCACUGAAAGUGCUUUACAACCCGAAGGCCUUCUUCACACACGCGGCAUGGCUGGAUCAGGGUUGCCCCCAUUGUCCAAUAUUCCCCACUGCUGCCUCCCGUAGGAGUCUGGGCCGUGUCUCAGUCCCAGUGUGGCUGAUCAUCCUCUCAGACCAGCUACGGAUCGUCGCCUUGGUGAGCCGUUACCUCACCAACCAGCUAAUCCGACAUAGGCUCAUCCGAUAGCGCGAGGCCCGAAGGUCCCACGCUUUCCCCCGUAGGGCGUAUGCGGUAUUAGCCUGGGUUUCCCCAGGUUAUCCCCCACUACCGGGCAGAUUCCUAUGCAUUACUCACCCGUCCGCCGCUCGCCACCAGGGAGCAAGCUCCCCGUGCUGCCGCUCGACUUGCAUGUGUUAGGCCUGCCGCCAGCGUUCAAUCUGAGCCAGAAUCAAACUCUGA